GGACUGAGAGGUUGAACGGCCACAUUGGGACUGAGACACGGCCCAGACUCCUACGGGAGGCAGCAGUGGGGAAUAUUGCACAAUGGGGGAAACCCUGAUGCAGCGACGCCGCGUGGAGGAAGAAGGUCUUCGGAUUGUAAACUCCUGUUGUUGAGGAAGAUAAUGACGGUACUCAACAAGGAAGUGACGGCUAACUACGUGCCAGCAGCCGCGGUAAAACGUAGGUCACAAGCGUUGUCCGGAAUUACUGGGUGUAAAGGGAGCGCAGGCGGGCGAUCAAGUUGGAAGUGAAAUCCAUGGGCUCAACCCAUGAACUGCUUUCAAAACUGGUCGUCUUGAGUAGUGCAGAGGUAGGCGGAAUUCCCGGUGUAGCGGUGGAAUGCGUAGAUAUCGGGAGGAACACCAGUGGCGAAGGCGGCCUACUGGGCACCAACUGACGCUGAGGCUCGAAAGUGUGGGUAGCAAACAGGAUUAGAUACCCUGGUAGUCCACACCGUAAACGAUGAUUACUAGGUGUUGGGAGAUUGACCCUCUCAGUGCCGCAGUUAACACAAUAAGUAAUCCACCUGGGGAGUACGACCGCAAGGUUGAAACUCAAAGGAAUUGACGGGGGCCCGCACAAGCAGUGGAGUAUGUGGUUUAAUUCGACGCAACGCGAAGAACCUUACCAAGUCUUGACAUCCCUUGACGAUGCUGGAAACAGUAUUUCUCUUCGGAGCAAGGAGACAGGUGGUGCAUGGUUGUCGUCAGCUCGUGUCGUGAGAUGUUGGGUUAAGUCACGCAACGAGCGCAACCCUUAUGGUCAGUUACUACGCAAGAGGACUCUGGCCAGACUGCCGUUGACAAAACGGAGGAAGGUGGGGAUGACGUCAAAUCAUCAUGCCCUUUAUGACUUGGGCUACACACGUACUACAAUGGCGUUAAACAAAGAGAAGCAAGACCGCGAGGUGGAGCAAAACUCAGAAACAACGUCCCAGUUCGGACUGCAGGCUGCAACUCGCCUGCACGAAGUCGGAAUUGCUAGUAAUCGUGGAUCAGCAUGCCACGGUGAAUACGUUCCCGGGCCUUGUACACACCGCCCGUCACACCAUGAGAGCCGGGGGGACCCGAAGUCGGUAGUCUAACCGCAAGGAGGACGCCGCCGAAGGUAAAACUGGUGAUUGGGGUGAAGUCGUAACAAGGUAGCCGUAGGAGAACCUGCGGCUG
Molecule: ribosomal RNA, 1206 nt
Filed under: metagenome
Description: bacterial SSU rRNA
Rfam family: Bacterial small subunit ribosomal RNA
Source: RNAcentral